This 262-nucleotide ribosomal RNA is filed under the name uncultured Staphylococcus sp. Its description in RNAcentral is "partial 16S ribosomal RNA". It matches the Rfam family "Bacterial small subunit ribosomal RNA", at positions 99 to 354 of the family's 1533-position model. The record is from RNAcentral. Lineage: Bacteria; Bacillati; Bacillota; Bacilli; Caryophanales; Staphylococcaceae.
CGGACGGGUGAGUAACACGUGGAUAACCUACCUAUAAGACUGGGAUAACUUCGGGAAACCGGAGCUAAUACCGGAUAAUAUAUUGAACCGCAUGGUUCAAUAGUGAAAGACGGUUUUGCUGUCACUUAUAGAUGGAUCCGCGCUGCAUUAGCUAGUUGGUAAGGUAACGGCUUACCAAGGCAACGAUGCGUAGCCGACCUGAGAGGGUGAUCGGCCACACUGAACUGAGACACGGUCCAGACUCCUACGGGAGGCAGCAGGC